Long non-coding RNA from Rhineura floridana, 628 nucleotides. RefSeq lists it as uncharacterized. The record is from RefSeq and is a predicted model, not a curated record. The transcript has 3 exons. NCBI's taxonomy places the organism in Eukaryota, Metazoa, Chordata, Lepidosauria, Squamata, Rhineuridae.
UUCUGCCUAGUGGAAGAGUUCUUGGUGGAGUCAAAAGUUGGCUCCUGAUUUUGUGACAUAUUUGUGGGUCCUAAGAGUAGUAUGGCCUUACUGUGAUCCCCCCCCUCCCCAAUGGACCAACACAACUGCAUGUGUUCUUGUGUUUUACGGAGAUGUUUUAAAAAAUGAUGUUUCAGGAUUGGUCCAUCUAGUUUGGUAUUAUGGACCCUGACUGGCAGCACCUCUGCAAUUGGAGAUGCCGGUGAUUGAACCUAAGACCUUCUGCAUUCAAAGCAGAUGCUCUCUGAGUUAAUUGUCCUUCACCUAAAAAUAAGAGAGCUUGCAGUGCUGUCCCUGCGAGAGCAUUGGCCGCUCAGGAACUCCUCUUUGCCUGACUCCGUACACAGCUUUAGAUUCCAGCCUGCACUUGGGGCCCUCGCAGAGACUCUAACACUUUUGCAGCCUGCGGAAAAACAGAGUCAAGAGGCACCAAGGAGGGACAGUGAGAUACCUGGCAGGUGCCAGCCUGAUGCCAGAGACACAGCCGGCCCCCAAAGCCACCCUUAGCUUGGAGCAGGAGAGGCUAAUUGUCAGCUUACGUAUUCGUUUAUUUGAAGAGGGUUUUUUUACUCUGCUCUGUUGAAAAGGC